This 300-nucleotide ribosomal RNA is filed under the name uncultured Aeropyrum sp. Its description in RNAcentral is "partial 16S ribosomal RNA". It matches the Rfam family "Bacterial small subunit ribosomal RNA", at positions 496 to 795 of the family's 1533-position model. Lineage: Archaea; Thermoproteati; Thermoproteota; Thermoprotei; Acidilobales; Acidilobaceae. The record is from RNAcentral.
GGUACGUUCGUGACGGCAGCGGGGGGAAGAGGAACCGUGGUAACGUGGUUCGGAAGCACUGGGCGUAAAGGGGGGGUAGGCGGGUUCGGAGGUGCGGGGGGAAAGCCCCCAGCUCAACUGGGGAAGUGCCUCGGGUACUGCGGAGCUCGAGGGAGGUAGGGGCGGAUGGAACUUCCGGUGGAGCGGUGAAAUGCGUUGAUAUCGGAAGGAACGCCGGUGGCGAAAGCGAUCCGCUGGCCCUCUACUGACGCUGAGGCGCGAAAGCCAGGGGAGCAAACGGGAUUAGAUACCCCGGUAGUC